This 494-nucleotide ribosomal RNA is filed under the name uncultured bacterium. RNAcentral describes it as "partial 16S ribosomal RNA". It matches the Rfam family "Bacterial small subunit ribosomal RNA", at positions 28 to 507 of the family's 1533-position model. The record is from RNAcentral.
GACGAACGCUGGCGGCGCGCUUAACACAUGCAAGUCGAACGGAAAGGCCUGCUUUCCCUUGUGGAUUGCGGGUACUCGAGUGGCGAACGGGUGAGUAACACGUGAGUGAUCUGCCCCCAACUUGGGUAUAAGCCUGGGAAACUGGGUCUAAUUCCCGAUAGGACUGCAGGGUGGUGCCUGUGGUGGAAAACGAUUUUCUAGUGGUUGGGGAUGAGCUCGCGGCCUAUCAGCUUGUUGGUGGGGUAAUGGCCUACCAAGGCGGCGACGGGUAGCCGGCCUGAGAGGGUGGACGGCCACAUUGGGACUGAGAUACGGCCCAGACUCCUACGGGGGGCAGCAGUGGGGAAUAUUGCACAAUGGGCGGAAGCCUGAUGCAGCGACGCCGCGUGGGGGAUGACGGCCUUCGGGUUGUAAACUCCUUUCGACCGCGAGGAAGCCACCUGGUUGGAAGGGUGGUGACGGUAGUGGUAGAAGAAGCACCGGCUAACUACGUG